This 195-nucleotide ribosomal RNA is filed under the name uncultured bacterium. RNAcentral's name for it is "partial 16S ribosomal RNA". It matches the Rfam family "Bacterial small subunit ribosomal RNA", at positions 160 to 353 of the family's 1533-position model. The record is from RNAcentral.
CUGCUAAUACCGCAUAAGCGCACAGAGCUGCAUGGCUCAGUGUGAAAAACUCCGGUGGUAUAAGAUGGACCCGCGUUGGAUUAGCUUGUUGGCAGGGUAACGGCCUACCAAGGCGACGAUCCAUAGCCGGCCUGAGAGGGUGAACGGCCACAUUGGGACUGAGACACGGCCCAGACUCCUACGGGAGGCAGCAUG